CGGGCCGCGGCGCAGCCUGCAAACCCCGGCGGCGUGUGGGGAUGGCGGCGACGGCGGUGACGGUUGGCAGGCUGCUGCGGCUCCGCGCGGCCGGGGCCGAGGGACACUGGCGUCGGCUGCGUGGCGCGGGGCUGCCGCGGGGCUUCCUGCAGACCGCCUCGGCCGACGGGGAUGCGGCCCAGAGGCGGCAGGUGGCUCACUUCACUUUCCAGCCUGACCCGGAGCCACUGGAGUACGGGCAAACUCAGAAAAUGAAUCUCUUCCAGGCAGUAACAAGUGCCUUAGAUAACUCACUGGCCAAAGACCCUACUGCAGUAAUAUUUGGUGAAGAUGUUGCCUUUGGUGGAGUCUUUAGAUGUACUGUUGGCUUGCGAGACAAGUAUGGUAAAGAUAGAGUUUUUAAUACCCCAUUGUGUGAACAAGGAAUUGUUGGAUUUGGAAUUGGAAUUGCAGUCACUGGUGCUACCGCCAUUGCGGAAAUUCAGUUUGCAGAUUAUAUUUUCCCUGCUUUUGAUCAGAUUGUUAAUGAAGCCGCCAAGUAUCGCUAUCGCUCUGGGGAUCUUUUUAAUUGUGGAAGCCUCACCAUCCGGUCCCCUUGGGGCUGUGUCGGCCAUGGGGCUCUCUACCAUUCCCAGAGUCCUGAAGCUUUUUUUGCCCACUGCCCAGGAAUCAAGGUGGUUAUACCCAGAAGCCCUUUCCAGGCCAAGGGACUUCUUUUGUCAUGCAUAGAGGAUAAAAAUCCUUGUAUAUUUUUUGAACCUAAAAUACUUUACAGGGCAGCAGUGGAACAGGUUCCCAUAGAACCAUACAACAUCCCGCUGUCCCAGGCCGAAGUCAUCCAAGAAGGGAGUGAUGUCACUCUAGUUGCCUGGGGCACUCAGGUUCAUGUGGUCCGAGAGGUGGCUUCCAUGGCUCAUGAGAAGCUUGGAGUGUCUUGUGAGGUCAUUGAUCUGAGGACUAUAAUACCUUGGGAUGUGGAUACAGUUUGCAAGUCUGUGAUCAAAACAGGGCGGCUGCUAGUUAGUCACGAGGCUCCCUUGACGGGCGGCUUUGCCUCUGAGAUCAGCUCGACGGUUCAGGAAGAAUGUUUCCUGAACCUGGAGGCUCCUAUAUCGAGGGUAUGUGGGUACGACACGCCGUUCCCUCACAUUUUUGAGCAGUUCUACAUCCCAGACAAAUGGAAGUGCUAUGACGCCCUUCGAAAAAUGAUCAACUAUUGACCACAGUAUAUAACAUAUAAUGGAAGCCAGAUGUUGACCCAGAUAUAAGGAGCUUCAUCCAUCCCAUCAUCCAGAGUGUGAAAAGCUGCAUUCGCCUGAAUCAAUACAUUUGUGGCCUGACCUGGAAAAGCAUAGGAAGAUAGUGCAUCAGAGUUACUUCCAUCGAGGACAAGACCCAUGAGGAUUCAUUCACAGAGCUGGUAAGACUGUUGGUGACUGCUCGUUCCCAUGGUGGAGUGAGCUGCAUGUGAAGGAAGCAGGGGAGAGAAGAAGCAGCAUGGCUGUAAGCAUAUCUGCAUCUAUAGUUACGUUAUAGUGUAAAAUAGAGCUGCCAUACGAGCCAGCAAUCCCACUUGUGGGCAUAUAUCCGGAGAAAAACAUGGUUCAAAAGGAUGCAUGCACCCCAGUGUUCAUGGCAGCACUGUUUACAAUAGCCAAGACAUGGAAGCAACCUCAAUGAUCAUCAGCAGAAGAAUGGAUAAAGAAGAUGUGGUAGAUAUACACAAUGGAAUAUUAGCCAUUAAAAAGAAUGAAAUAAUGUCAUUUGCAGCAAAAUGGAUGGACCUGGAGAUUAUCACACUAAGUAGGUUGGACAGAGAAAGACAAAUACCAUAUGAUAUCGCUUAUAUGUGGAAUCUAAAAAAAAUGUUGCAAAUAAACUUAUUUACAAAACAGAAA
Lagenorhynchus albirostris (white-beaked dolphin) is the source of this 1898-nucleotide RNA transcript. It is a transcript of the gene named branched chain keto acid dehydrogenase E1 subunit beta, with no coding region annotated. The transcript has 12 exons. The record is from RefSeq and is a predicted model, not a curated record. Lineage: Eukaryota; Metazoa; Chordata; Mammalia; Artiodactyla; Delphinidae.